RNAcentral lists this ribosomal RNA (560 nucleotides) under Escherichia coli. Its description in RNAcentral is "partial 23S ribosomal RNA". It matches the Rfam family "Bacterial large subunit ribosomal RNA", at positions 1 to 591 of the family's 2925-position model. Lineage: Bacteria; Pseudomonadati; Pseudomonadota; Gammaproteobacteria; Enterobacterales; Enterobacteriaceae. The record is from RNAcentral.
GGGUUGUGAGGUUAAGCGACUAAGCGUACACGGUGGAUGCCCUGGCAGUCAGAGGCGAUGAAGGACGUGCUAAUCUGCGAUAAGCGUCGGUAAGGUGAUAUGAACCGUUAUAACCGGCGAUUUCCGAAUGGGGAAACCCAGUGUGAUUCGUCACACUAUCAUUAACUGAAUCCAUAGGUUAAUGAGGCGAACCGGGGGAACUGAAACAUCUAAGUACCCCGAGGAAAAGAAAUCAACCGAGAUUCCCCCAGUAGCGGCGAGCGAACGGGGAGCAGCCCAGAGCCUGAAUCAGUGUGUGUGUUAGUGGAAGCGUCUGGAAAGGCGCGCGAUACAGGGUGACAGCCCCGUACACAAAAAUGCACAUAUUGUGAGCUCGAUGAGUAGGGCGGGACACGUGGUAUCCUGUCUGAAUAUGGGGGGACCAUCCUCCAAGGCUAAAUACUCCUGACUGACCGAUAGUGAACCAGUACCGUGAGGGAAAGGCGAAAAGAACCCCGGCGAGGGGAGUGAAAAAGAACCUGAAACCGUGUACGUACAAGCAGUGGGAGCCUCUUUUAUGG